This 198-nucleotide ribosomal RNA is filed under the name uncultured bacterium. RNAcentral's name for it is "partial 16S ribosomal RNA". It matches the Rfam family "Bacterial small subunit ribosomal RNA", at positions 326 to 539 of the family's 1533-position model. The record is from RNAcentral.
ACGCUCGACACCUACGGAAGGCAGCAGUGGGGGAUAUUGCACAAUGGGGGAAACCCUGAUGCAGCAACGCCGCGUGAAGGAAGAAGGUCUUCGGAUUGUAAACUUCUGUCCUCAGGGAAGAUAAUGACGGUACCUGAGGAGGAAGCUCCGGCUAACUACGUGCCAGCAGCCGCGGUAAUCUGAGCGGGCUGGCAAGGC